Molecule: ribosomal RNA, 439 nt
Filed under: uncultured bacterium
Lineage: Bacteria
Description: partial 16S ribosomal RNA
Rfam family: Bacterial small subunit ribosomal RNA
Source: RNAcentral
CUACGGGGGGCAGCAGUGGGGAAUAUUGCACAAUGGAGGAAACUCUGAUGCAGCAACGCCGCGUGGAGGAUGACACUUUUCGGAGCGUAAACUCCUUUUAUAUAGGAAGAUAAUGACGGUACUAUAUGAAUAAGCACCGGCUAACUCCGUGCCAGCAGCCGCGGUAAUACGGAGGGUGCAAGCGUUACUCGGAAUCACUGGGCGUAAAGAGCGUGUAGGCGGGUUAAUAAGUCAGAAGUGAAAUCCUAUGGCUCAACCAUAGAACUGCUUUUGAAACUGUUAACCUAGAGUGUGGGAGAGGUAGAUGGAAUUUCUGGUGUAGGGGUAAAAUCCGUAGAGAUCAGAAGGAAUACCGAUUGCGAAGGCGAUCUACUGGAACUUAACUGACGCUGAGACGCGAAAGCGUGGGGAGCAAACAGGAUUAGAUACCCUCGUAGUC